AUGCCCACCAUGCUGUUACUUUCACUAACUGGCCAGAAUGGGCCAGCGAACUUGAAGGUGAGCGAGGCAGCGUUGAUUCAGGUAUCAGGUUCGACGGUGUCCGAUGGCAAAGUAGAGGAAAUGGGCGGGGGCGAUUACCUGGUCACAGUGAACAGCGUCCCCAGUGGUGAGUUUGUGGUGUUGCUGAAAGGAGAGGAUAUCUCGACCUCUAGCCAAUUUCAGAGGCAGUCCACCACCCAGAUGUCAGUCUCCAAAGUCUCCAUUAAUGCUGUUGUUGACAGAAACAUGGAACCAGGACAGAACUUUAAAAUGCAUUUCACUGUCAGCAACAAUGUCACAGGAACCAAGUUCACGAUUCGUGCCAGCAAUGACAGAAACUUCGAAAUGAAAUCGAGUAGCAGUAUUACCAGUACAGGGAGUGGCAUGGCUGACGGUCUGGUGGACAUUAAUGUUCCUGCCAACACUCCCUCGGGCACAGAUGUCACUCUGACCAUCGAGGCAGAAGUAACAGGAACCACCGACUCCAACUUUGCUGUGCUGCGCCUUUCUGUGGUUAAGAACGUAAGUGAACAAUAAAGGAUGGAAUGAAAUUAAUCUGAAAAGUUAUAGAUCAUCAAUUGUGUGGUCUGUUUGUUUUUCUUCUAGGUAACAGAUUUUACUCCUCCAACAUGUGAGGUGAUUGGGGUGAACAAUACCUGCCAAACAAACUGCAGCUGGAACUCCUGGGACCUCACAGUAAACAUCACAGAUGGCAACGGCACUGGUGUGGAUAAGAUUUGGAUACAGCAAGGCAGUGCUGACCUGAUUUACAGUUCUACAAACAGUGAUGGGGUCAAGGUAUAUAAGAACACCUACCGCUCUUCUUGUUGCUCACCCAACCUCCAGCUGUCUGUUACUGACAAGGAGGGGAAUGUUGGAACCUGCUUUUACUCCAUCAGAGUUCCUACUACGACUAUAAAAGCACCCACAACCACGCCCAAUGCUGGACCACCCUCUCUCGGCUUGGCCACUCCACUCUGGGCAUUUUUGCUCAUUUCAGUGGUGUCAGUGGUGCAGGACUUUCUCUAAUAAUCACUCAAAGAAC
This is a long non-coding RNA of Denticeps clupeoides (denticle herring), 1084 nucleotides long. Lineage: Eukaryota; Metazoa; Chordata; Actinopteri; Clupeiformes; Denticipitidae. The record is from Ensembl.